RNAcentral lists this ribosomal RNA (405 nucleotides) under uncultured bacterium. Its description in RNAcentral is "partial 16S ribosomal RNA". It matches the Rfam family "Bacterial small subunit ribosomal RNA", at positions 30 to 526 of the family's 1533-position model. The record is from RNAcentral.
AUUGAACGCUGGCGGCAGGCUUAACACAUGCAAGUCGAACGAGUGGCGGGCGGGUGUGUAAUGCGGGGGACUCUAGCUUAUGGAGGGGGAAAGCCACGGGAACAUGGCGCUAAUACCACGUUCUCUAGGGUGAGCCCAUGGGGGCUUCGGUAGUUGGUGAGGGAAAGGCUCACCAAGCCGACGAUCUCUAGCUGGUCUGAGAGGAUGACCAGCCACAUUGGGACUGAGACACGGCCCAGACUCCUACGGGAGGCAGGAGUGGGGAAUAUUGCGCAAGGGGGGCAACCUGACGAAGCCAUGCCGCGUGAAUGAAGAAGGCCUUCGGGUUGUAAAGUUCUUUCGGUAGCGAGGCGUUAACUACAGAAGAAGCACCGGCUAACUCCGUGCCAGCAGCCGCGGUAAUUC